RNAcentral lists this ribosomal RNA (464 nucleotides) under uncultured bacterium. RNAcentral's name for it is "partial 16S ribosomal RNA". It matches the Rfam family "Bacterial small subunit ribosomal RNA", at positions 339 to 795 of the family's 1533-position model. The record is from RNAcentral.
CUACGGGAGGCACCAGUGAGGAAUUUUGCGCAAUGGGGGAAACCCUGACGCAGCAACGCCGCGUGAGUGAUGAAGGCCUUCGGGUCGUAAAACUCUGUCAAGUGGGAAGAACCUAUGUAAGGUUAAUACCCUUAUGUACUGACGGUACCACUGAAGGAAGCACCGGCUAACUCCGUGCCAGCAGCCGCGGUAAUACGGAGGGUGCAAGCGUUAUUCGGAAUUAUUGGGCGUAAAGGGCGCGCAGGCGGUUUUGUAAGUCAGAUGUGAAAGCCCGGGGCUUAACCUCGGAAGUGCAUUUGAUACUGCAAGACUUGAGUAUGGGAGGGGGAAGUGGAAUUCCUGGUGUAGAGGUGAAAUUCGUAGAUAUCAGGAGGAACACCAGUGGCGAAGGCAACUUCCUGGACCAAUACUGACGCUGAGGCGCGAAGGCGUGGGGAGCAAACAGGAUUAGAUACCCUCGAGUC